CGGUUACCACGGAGUGAUUCAUGACUGGGGUGAAGUCGUAACAAGGUAGCCCUAGGGGAACCUGGGGCUGGAUCACCUCCUUA
Molecule: non-coding RNA, 83 nt
Filed under: Atopomonas hussainii
Lineage: Bacteria; Pseudomonadati; Pseudomonadota; Gammaproteobacteria; Pseudomonadales; Pseudomonadaceae
Description: Pseudomonas hussainii Bacterial small subunit ribosomal RNA
Rfam family: Bacterial small subunit ribosomal RNA
Source: Rfam by way of RNAcentral